GAUGAACGCUAGCUACAGGCUUAACACAUGCAAGUCGGAGGGGCAGCAUGAACUUAGCUUGCUAAGUUUGAUGGCGACCGGCGCACGGGUGAGUAACACGUAUCCAACCUUCCGUUUACUCAGGGAUAGCCUUUCGAAAGAAAGAUUAAUACCUGAUAGUAUGGUGAGAUUGCAUGAUAACACCAUUAAAGAUUUAUUGGUAAACGAUGGGGAUGCGUUCCAUUAGGUAGUAGGCGGGGUAACGGCCCACCUAGCCUGCGAUGGAUAGGGGUUCUGAGAGGAAGGUCCCCCACAUUGGAACUGAGACACGGUCCAAACUCCUACGGGAGGCAGCAGUGAGGAAUAUUGGUCAAUGGGCGAGAGCCUGAACCAGCCAAGUAGCGUGAAGGAUGAAGGUCCUACGGAUUGUAAACUUCUUUUAUACGGGAAUAAAGUUUCCUACGUGUAGGAUUUUGUAUGUACCGUAUGAAUAAGCAUCGGCUAACUCCGUG
RNAcentral lists this ribosomal RNA (491 nucleotides) under uncultured bacterium. RNAcentral's name for it is "bacterial SSU rRNA". It matches the Rfam family "Bacterial small subunit ribosomal RNA", at positions 28 to 507 of the family's 1533-position model. The record is from RNAcentral.